CGAACGCUGGCGGCGUGCCUAAUACAUGCAAGUCGAACGGUCUUUCUAUGGAAGCUUGCUUCCACUGAGAAGAUAGUGGCGAACGGGUGAGUAACACGUGGGUAACCUGCCCAUAAGAGGGGGAUAACAUCCGGAAACGGGUGCUAAUACCGCAUAGUUUUCUUGAUCGCAUGAUCGGGAAAGGAAAGACGGCCUUUGUGCUGUCGCUUAUGGAUGGACCCGCGGCGUAUUAGUUAGUUGGUGAGGUAACGGCUCACCAAGACGAUGAUACGUAGCCGACCUGAGAGGGUGAUCGGCCACAUUGGGACUGAGACACGGCCCAAACUCCUACGGGAGGCAGCAGUAGGGAAUCUUCCGCAAUGGACGAAAGUCUGACGGAGCAACGCCGCGUGAGUGAAGAAAGGUUUUCGGAUCGUAAAACUCUGUUGUCAGAGAAGAACAAGUUGGAGAGUAACUGCUCCAGCCUUGACGGUAUCUGACCAGAAAGCCACGGCUAACUACGUGCCAGCAGCCGC
RNAcentral lists this ribosomal RNA (515 nucleotides) under uncultured bacterium. RNAcentral's name for it is "bacterial SSU rRNA". It matches the Rfam family "Bacterial small subunit ribosomal RNA", at positions 30 to 518 of the family's 1533-position model. The record is from RNAcentral.